This 72-nucleotide transfer RNA is filed under the name Ailuropoda melanoleuca (giant panda). It matches the Rfam family "tRNA". Rfam says of the family: Transfer RNA (tRNA) molecules are approximately 80 nucleotides in length. Their secondary structure includes four short double-helical elements and three loops (D, anti-codon, and T loops). Lineage: Eukaryota; Metazoa; Chordata; Mammalia; Carnivora; Ursidae. The record is from Rfam by way of RNAcentral.
ACCUGGCUGGCUCAGUUGGUGGAGCGUGUGACUCUUGAUCUGGGGUUGUGAGUUCAAGCCCCAUGUUAGGUA